Molecule: long non-coding RNA, 532 nt
Organism: Diceros bicornis minor
Lineage: Eukaryota; Metazoa; Chordata; Mammalia; Perissodactyla; Rhinocerotidae
Exons: 5
Source: RefSeq, a predicted model, not a curated record
AAACAGCAGGGCAGAAGUCAAGAUGGCGGCAUAAGCAGACUCGGAACUCACCUCCUCCUGUGGACACAGCCAAUCUACAACUACUCGCGGAAAAAUUACCCCUGAGACAGAACUGAAAACUGGAUAAGAGGAACUCCUGCAACAACGGACAAUCCUAACUGAGGUAGAAGAGGCAGAGACUCCCUUCUGGAAAGGAAAAACGCCGCCUUCACAAGCCGCCAGCUUCAUGGCCGCCGGGAGCAGCUCACAGGGAGAAGCUGGAGGCUGAGGCUUUCCACCCAAUUGGAUGGUGCUGUGCCAGAGAGGAGAGACUCUGAAAGUCUCUUUGUGCUGGACAUUGAGGCAGAGACAGAUUAUAAACCUCCAGAUUCCAAAGAUUUCAAGCAAAUGAGUCAUGCUGGGGGUGCCUUAAGAAGGGGCAGGAGAUGGCUACUCGAUGGCAGGAAGGGGAUAUUCAACGAGUUUGAAGUACUGUGUCUUACAGGUCGAAGCUCCCUGGAGCAACUGUUGAGAUCAGACUCCAGAGUAGAAG